CCUGGGUGGAGACCCGAACGCUGUCGCCAUUUUCCCCGGGGCCCGAGGUAGUACAUGCACAUGGAGAAAAGAAAUUCAAGCAGGACAAAAGAGUGCACAUGCAAGCAGAAGAAAUGGUGUAGGCUCUGAAACACCACUUGAAGAAUGGGCCAUGAUGUGGGACAAUAAAAAAUUAGUACUGGAGUGAUUGGAAUGAUCAGCUGCUAACCAAUAACUGAUAUAAAUGAUAACUGAAUGAGCCCGCUACAGAGGUAAACAUUUGAACUUAGAGGAAUACAAGGAGGAGUGAUGGCCCUACAUGAUCACUGGAGGCAUAAAGUGGCUCUGCAUAAUGUGGGCAACUAUGCACAGAAGCCAAAUAUUGACUAAAUAGCUCAACAAUUAUU
Long non-coding RNA from Symphalangus syndactylus (siamang), 386 nucleotides. RefSeq lists it as uncharacterized. Lineage: Eukaryota; Metazoa; Chordata; Mammalia; Primates; Hylobatidae. The record is from RefSeq and is a predicted model, not a curated record.